GGCGAGGUAACGGCUCACCAAGGCGAUGAUGGGUAGGGGUUCUGAGAGGAAAGUCCCCCACACUGGCACUGAGAUACGGGCCAGACUCCUACGGGAGGCAGCAGUAAGGAAUAUUGGUCAAUGGACGCAAGUCUGAACCAGCCAUGCCGUGUGCAGGAAGAAGCUUUUAGGAGUGUAAACUGCUUUUUUAUAAGAACAAAGAGCUCCUGCGGGAGAAGAUGAGAGUAUUAUAAGAAUAAGUACCGGCUAACUACGUGCCAGCAGCCGCGGUAAUACGUAGGGUGCAAGCGUUAUCCGGAUUUACUGGGUUUAAAGGGUGCGUAGGCGGUUUCUCAAGUCGGUGAUAAAAGCUUGGUGCUUAACGCCAAAAGUGUUGCCGAUACUAGGAAGCUAGAGUAAAGAAAGGGUAAGCGGAAUUUAUGGUGUAGCGGUGAUAUGCUUAGAUAUCAUAAGGAACUUCAAUAGCGUAGGCAGCUUACUAGUCUUUUACUGACGCUGAGGCACGAAAGGCGGGUAGCAAACAGGAUUAGAUACC
This 535-nucleotide ribosomal RNA is filed under the name uncultured bacterium. RNAcentral's name for it is "bacterial SSU rRNA". It matches the Rfam family "Bacterial small subunit ribosomal RNA", at positions 251 to 786 of the family's 1533-position model. The record is from RNAcentral.